RNAcentral lists this ribosomal RNA (495 nucleotides) under uncultured bacterium. Its description in RNAcentral is "partial 16S ribosomal RNA". It matches the Rfam family "Bacterial small subunit ribosomal RNA", at positions 28 to 507 of the family's 1533-position model. The record is from RNAcentral.
GACGAACGCUGGCGGCGUGCCUAAUACAUGCAAGUAGAACGCUGAAGGAGGAGCUUGCUUCUCUGGAUGAGUUGCGAACGGGUGAGUAACGCGUAGGUACCCUGCCUGGUAGCGGGGGAUAACUAUUGGAAACGAUAGCUAAUACCGCAUAAGAGUAGAUGUUGCAUGACAUUUGCUUAAAAGGUGCAAUUGCAUCACUACCAGAUGGACCUGCGUUGUAUUAGCUAGUUGGUGGGGUAACGGCUAACCAAGGCGCCGGUACAUAGCCGACCUGAGAGGGGGAUCGGCCACACUGGUACUGAGACACGGCCCAGACUCCUACGGGAGGCAGCAGUAGGGAAUCUUCGGCGAUGGACGGAAGUCUGACCGAGCAACGCCGCGUGAGUGAAGCAGGUUUUCGGAUCGUAAAGCUCUGUUGUAAGAGAAGAGCGAGUGUGAGAGUGGAAAGUUCACACUGUGACGGUAUCUUACCAGAAAGGGACGGCUAACUACGUG